CUUAGUGUUUAUAUUGUCUUUGGUUGUACUGUCUGUGUGUGAAUUUGCACAAAAGUCAGUGGAUAUCUUCCCUCUUGAAGGGACGAGCAAUAUGAAAUAAUAAAAGGGUUUGCCACGUCGAUGCGAAAUUCUUGCAUUUCGGUUCGUUAUCGUUGGUAACGGUCCCUAAGCGUUGCCAUGUGUGCAUUUAAAAUAUUUUGAGCUCGGUAUUUUGGUUGUGCUUUCAAUUGUUUGCGAAAGCAAUCCUAAAUCAACUGAUGGGCAAUUGCGAUGCUUUUCAUAUAAAAAUAUAUGGAACUAGAUUCUUUAUCAUAUAGUGUAGAAAACAGGCCCUCAACCAGUGCAAAAUGUGACGUCUCCAGCAAUCUGUGUUCUUCCAAUUAACAAAAUUCGCGAGAAAAAGCGGGCGCCCAACGCUUUUGUAGCAGACAUGAAAUACGACGUGCGAAAAGAAAAAAGCAACUCGUGUAAGCCAGUUGCUGGUUUUUCUAGAAAAGGGCUUACGCUUUUUCACAAGCAAAACAUGCAUGCCAAUGCGAGUACCGGAUAACAAUAUAUUCCAGCUGUAGUUAUUCAAAACGGCUUUUCUCAUGCUGUCAUAGCAAGGCAGCGCAAUCAAUUCAGGACUUAAAUUUAAGAAUGGAUCAAAUGUUCAAACUGAUACAGCCGACAUUGGACGCAAACAAAGCUUUUCGUGACCUGGUUGAGCAUCUCAUCUCCCUAAAAUCCAAAUGACCAACCCGUAUUUAAAAAUUGGACUGUGGAACUCACGGGGUUAAUUUAAGAAAAAUGAUAAACUUAGGCUCUUUCUUAGUGGCCACACUAUAGACAUAAUGCUGUGUUAAUUGCAGAGAUUGCGCCGAGGUCAUUGUGAGAUCUUCUGUUCGUCACUGUCAGAAUAAGCCGAAUUGCUGUGAACGUGCACACAAACUCUAGAAGCAUGACAAUUGCUUCCUUAUGUCUUCCACCUAAGGAACCAUGGACCAAGGCGAACUUUGAAUAUAUCUUGAUUACUUUGGGCAGCAAAUUCAUUGCAGGCAACCCAACAUUCUAUUCGUAUAAAACGCACCUCACCACGUUUGCUGGACUUUUUCGUAACAAACGGGAUUGCUUGGGAUAGGCUAACAGUUCAAUCGCUAUAUGAACAAUCCUCGGAUCACUUGCCCAUACUGGUAAUAAUGCAUCACCCACGUCAAUUAAAAACUCGAACGCAACGACUUUUCCCGCCUGGAUCCUCUGUUAAAACGUUUAGAGCUGACUUGGACAAAAGAAUAAAUGUCAACAUUGUGUUAAGCGUUCCGCAGGACAUUGAGGACACAAUCUCCGUGCUCAUGGAAAAUAUAAGGCAAUCAGCAAUUUGCACUUCUCCUAAGACGCUGCAACAACCGAAUCAACGAAAGGGUGUGCAGCUGCCGACAGCAAUUAGUGCUGUGCUUUGCAUAACGAAAAGUGUCGGAAAGGAAUAUCCCAGAAGGGGAGAUAAACGUGCUCAUCUAAUCUAUAAAAGGCUUGCCAACCGUCUACAAAAUGUUCUAAAUAGUUACAAGCAGUCUCAAAUUGAUUGACUUCUAGACGACGCAGGAACAAAUGCAUAAACAAACUAUUCGCUCUGGAAACUGACAAGCUGCUUUAAGCCACUCAAUUGUUCCAGUUAGUGAGUAGCUUCUUGAAUCAUAGAACAUUUUGUGUAGUUGUCGAUGGUAAAAAGUCGUCAAAUCGACCCAUACGCGCUGGAGUCCCAGGCAAAGGCAGCGUCCUCGGUCCUUAUUGCCACGCAUGCAGAUGACACUUCUGUGCUGACCAGCAAUAGGCACUGCCACAGAGGCGUUACAAGAAUACCUGGGUAGCUUCGGACCAUGGGUCUUAGAAGGGAAUAUCAGCAUCAAUUGUACAAAGAUGAUAUGAAUAUUUUCUGCUAAGAACAAGCUUUCGCUUAAAAACGAAGUAAGAAUUUACAGAUCAAUACUGACUCCCAUAUGGACCUAUGCACUGCAAUGUACGGGAUUGCCGCAAAAUCGCACCUCAAGAAAAUAAGAGUAGCGCAGAGCAAAAUUCGUAAAAGGAUAGGUAAUGCUCCUUGGUAUAUGAGUACUAGGGACAUCGAGAGAGACCAAGGAGCUCCCAAAGUUGGAGACGUAAUCCGUCAGCAUGCCAAAAGAUACCUUGAUUGCCUACUCCCAUCCCAACCCACUUGCAAUUAACCUAACUUCUCAUGGAAAAACAUGAAUAAGGUGCCCCAUUAAAGGAGAUAAACGUCUCUAGGGUUAAAAAGAGAAGACAAACGGCGCCAUCCCUAUAUAUAAUACAUAAUAUAACAAAUAAUCUACAGAAUAAAAACAACACUUUUCUCUUUAUAGCCCUUUACAUCGUAGACCAAUUAGUAGCGUCUUGUUAAUUUUUUCCAACAUACGUGACUAGCUUAAGCUGACAUUUUUGGUAGUAGUGAUAUUGUUAACAAUAAAAUACAUAUACAUAUUUAAUAAUUAAAGAAUGCCAAAAGAAAAGUGUCGUUCAAGCGUCUGGGCUACUCGCCAAUGGCAACUGGUGCGAAAAUGGUUUUCUAAUGACACAAACAUAACGGAGGAGGAACGCAACGACUUUUCCCGCCUGGAUCCUCUGUUAAAACGUUUAGAGCUGACUUGGACAAAAGAAUAAAUGUCAACAUUGUGUUAAGCGUUCCGCAGGACAUUGAGGACACAAUCUCCGUGCUCAUGGAAAAUAUAAGGCAAUCAGCAAUUUGCACUUCUCCUAAGACGCUGCAACAACCGAAUCAACGAAAGGGUGUGCAGCUGCCGACAGCAAUUAGUGCUGUGCUUUGCAUAACGAAAAGUGUCGGAAAGGAAUAUCCCAGAAGGGGAGAUAAACGUGCUCAUCUAAUCUAUAAAAGGCUUGCCAACCGUCUACAAAAUGUUCUAAAUAGUUACAAGCAGUCUCAAAUUGAUUGACUUCUAGACGACGCAGGAACAAAUGCAUAAACAAACUAUUCGCUCUGGAAACUGACAAGCUGCUUUAAGCCACUCAAUUGUUCCAGUUAGUGAGUAGCUUCUUGAAUCAUAGAACAUUUUGUGUAGUUGUCGAUGGUAAAAAGUCGUCAAAUCGACCCAUACGCGCUGGAGUCCCAGGCAAAGGCAGCGUCCUCGGUCCUUAUUGUCACGCAUGCAGAUGACACUUCUGUGCUGACCAGCAAUAGGCACUGCCACAGAGGCGUUACAAGAAUACCUGGGUAGCUUCGGACCAUGGGUCUUAGAAGGGAAUAUCAGCAUCAAUUGUACAAAGAUGAUAUGGAUAUUUUCUGCUAAGAACAAGCUUUCGCUUAAAAACGAAGUAAGAAUUUACAGAUCAAUACUGACUCCCAUAUGGACCUAUGCACUGCAAUGUACGGGAUUGCCGCAAAAUCGCACCUCAAGAAAAUAAGAGUAGCGCAGAGCAAAAUUCGUAAAAGGAUAGGUAAUGCUCCUUGGUAUAUGAGUACUAGGGACAUCGAGAGAGACCAAGGAGCUCCCAAAGUUGGAGACGUAAUCCGUCAGCAUGCCAAAAGAUACCUUGAUUGCCUACUCCCAUCCCAACCCACUUGCAAUUAACCUAACUUCUCAUGGAAAAACAUGAAUAAGGUGCCCCAUUAAAGGAGAUAAACGUCUCUAGGGUUAAAAAGAGAAGACAAACGGCGCCAUCCCUAUAUAUAAUACAUAAUAUAACAAAUAAUCUACAGAAUAAAAACAACACUUUUCUCUUUAUA
Non-coding RNA from Drosophila virilis, 3736 nucleotides. The record is from RefSeq and is a predicted model, not a curated record. NCBI's taxonomy places the organism in Eukaryota, Metazoa, Arthropoda, Insecta, Diptera, Drosophilidae.